RNAcentral lists this ribosomal RNA (253 nucleotides) under uncultured bacterium. RNAcentral describes it as "partial 16S ribosomal RNA". It matches the Rfam family "Bacterial small subunit ribosomal RNA", at positions 524 to 776 of the family's 1533-position model. The record is from RNAcentral.
UACAGAGGUGGCAAGCGUUGUUCGGAAUUACUGGGCGUAAAGGGCGCGUAGGCGGUCUUGUAAGUCCCGUGUGAAAUCCCUCGGCUCAACUGAGGAAUGGCACGGGAAACUGCGAGGCUUGAGUUCGGGAGAGGGAAGCGGAAUUCCGGGUGUAGCGGUGAAAUGCGUAGAUAUCCGGAGGAACACCGGUGGCGAAGGCGGCUUCCUGGACCGACACUGACGCUAAGGCGCGAAAGCUAGGGGAGCAAACGGG